GAUGAAGAACGUAGCGAACUGCGAUAAGUAAUGUGAAUUGCAGAAUUCAGUGAAUCAUCGAGUCUUUGAACGCACAUUGCGCCCCCUGGCAUUCUGGGGGGCAUGCCUGUCCGAGCGUCAUUGCUGCCCUUCAAGCCCGGCUUGUGUGUUGGGUCGUCGUCCCCCCCGGGGGACGGGCCCGAAAGGCAGCGGCGGCACCGCGUCCGGUCCUCGAGCGUAUGGGGCUUUGUCACCCGCUCGAUUAGGGCCGGCCGGGCGCCAGCCGGCGUCUCCAACCUUCUAUUUUACCAGGUUGACCUCGGAUCAGGUAGGGAUACCCGCUGAACUUAAGCAUAUCAAUAAGCGGAGGA
Molecule: unclassified non-coding RNA, 350 nt
Filed under: soil metagenome
Description: partial contains 5.8S ribosomal RNA, internal transcribed spacer 2, and large subunit ribosomal RNA
Rfam family: 5.8S ribosomal RNA (bases 1-120)
Source: RNAcentral